RNAcentral lists this ribosomal RNA (491 nucleotides) under uncultured bacterium. Its description in RNAcentral is "partial 16S ribosomal RNA". It matches the Rfam family "Bacterial small subunit ribosomal RNA", at positions 29 to 507 of the family's 1533-position model. The record is from RNAcentral.
GUGAACGCUGGCGGUAGGCCUAACACAUGCAAGUCGAACGGCAGCACAGUAAGAGCUUGCUCUUACGGGUGGCGAGUGGCGGACGGGUGAGGAAUACAUCGGAAUCUACUUUUUCGUGGGGGAUAACGUAGGGAAACUUACGCUAAUACCGCAUACGACCUACGGGUGAAAGCAGGGGAUCUUCGGACCUUGCGCGAUUGAAUGAGCCGAUGUCGGAUUAGCUAGUUGGCGGGGUAAAGGCCCACCAAGGCGACGAUCCGUAGCUGGUCUGAGAGCAUGAUCAGCCACACUGGAACUGAGACACGGUCCAGACUCCUACGGGAGGCAGCAGUGGGGAAUAUUGGACAAUGGGCGCAAGCCUGAUCCAGCCAUACCGCGUGGGUGAAGAAGGCCUUCGGGUUGUAAAGCCCUUUUGUUGGGAAAGAAAAGCAGCAGGUUAAUACCCCGCUGUUCUGACGGUACCCAAAGAAUAAGCACCGGCUAACUUCGUG